UUGUAUUUAUCUUCUUCUCUGUUUCCUUCAACACCCAAACACAGUGACAAGGAAGUUUUAAUAUUUACAACAACAAAAAAAUAGAUCCUAAAAUUACCUCAAAUUCCUAAUCUCUACUGCAUCGUAAACCCCUAAUCUAUCCCCUCCCCCUAAUUUCUUGCAGGCAAGGAAUUCUCCUGUUUGCUUAAGAGAUUCAGAUAGGAAGCUCUGUGUUGCUUAUGAAAAGGUAAAGUAAAACAUUCAGUUCCAUUUUAUUCAUUUCUUCUUAAUUGAACCAAUGCCUUCAAUUUUCUAAUCUAAAUCGUAAGAUGCUUGUGACUUGAUCCACUGCGUAGAUCAACAAUCUAUCAAUACUUGGAACUAUUGUAUUUUGUGCUCCUGAUAUAUUAUUACAUGUAAUUGCUUUGUAAUAAUCUGGAACUAUUGUAUUUUGUGCAUUUGAUGAACUACCUACAUCUGUUUGUUUGCGGUUCGGAUGGAAUACCUGCAUUUUGUUUUGUAAGAGAUAUUGUUUCUUUGUGUUUAUAUUAGUUUAGGCCUUAGGGACUUGUUUAUAUAAUACGUGUUGUUAGCAAUAACUAACGGUGGCGUAACAGAAGGAGCUAAUUAUACAAAAAAUUAAUAGCUCGUGCAUUUGAUUACAACUUUUUUUAGUUUAGGCUUUAUAGACUACUGGUAUAAUCACGCAAGUUACAACUUAACAUGCUUAUUUAAACACACUGUAUAUAACCACUCAAAUCAUUAUUGUUUUAUUCCAUUAAUCUUACAAUUGAGAAUAGACCAAGAACCAUAACUAAUGGGGGGAAUACAAGGAAACAAGGACAAAACAGAGAAAUGAGGUAUUGAAAAA
Molecule: long non-coding RNA, 850 nt
Filed under: Medicago truncatula (barrel medic)
Lineage: Eukaryota; Viridiplantae; Streptophyta; Magnoliopsida; Fabales; Fabaceae
Description: long non-coding RNA (MTRU_LNC002271)
Source: RNAcentral